AAUUUUGUGACGAAUCCUUCUUCCCUUUCUCUUUUGCAGUUUUGCCCAAUGAUUCACACUCUCUCAUUUCAUUUUCUGAUAACUGUCGUGAAUAAUGGAGGUUUCGAAACAGAAACCCUAGCUACUUCUCCAAUUCUUCUUCGCAUGGUCCCAACACACCUUCUCCGGCGCCGGCCGCCGACAUCUCCAACUUCGCCUCGCCCUCCAACUCGUCGCCAAGUCCUCCGAUCACGACGACCGAUCCUUGAGCGCGAGAACGAGCUAUCAGCUAUUCAAAACCGUAAUCAUCCCUCAGUCGGAAACUACUCGCCGUCGUCGCAUGAUAUGGUUUAGAUUUUAACAGCCAUCGGGAACAAUCGUUUUCUUUGUGACACCACUGGUUCAAGAGAGUGUGGCUCCACCUUCUGCUGACUAUCACUGGAAUAGGAUGGAAUGCAGAAAAAAUUAUGCACGUUGCAGUGGACCACAGAUACAGUAUCUGCAAGGGCUCUUUCUCUCUUUAUCCACACCAGAUGUACAGGAGCAUGAGUUAAGACAAUGUACUAUGACCUUCUUUUACUGCGAAAGCACAUAAACCAGCAGCUUUUGUUCUUAUGAUCAUGGCUCUUCAAUGCACGCCUCUUCCUUCUAUCUGCUCUGUGGGAAUAGUAGCUGGAUGUGAAAAAUGAGUGGUCCUGAUUUGGUUGUAGACUGAUUAAGCCACUUAGAAUCAAUCAUUCCCAUAGAAACUAGCUCCUUGCUCUCAUUGUAGCUCAGGGCAGCAGCAGGGGAAUUAGCAAGUAUUGUUGUAAAACAUGGAUAUGGUGUUCUCUAGACAUUUGCAGGAGUAUAGUAGAGGUUAUUCUGAAGAUGAAGAGCAGGCGUGUUGCUGGGACCAUCACAAAAAAGAAAAGUCGUGAAGCACCAGGCCGUCGUUGCUCUCCCCUUUCACUCUCCCAGGUCGGCCUCUCUCUCUCUCUCUGUCACGCGCAAUCGCUCCUCCCCUUUCACUCUCCCGGUGCAGGCCAAGUGAAAAUGAUAUGAAAUCAUCAUGUAUAAGGACAACCCUUAUCCAGAAAAUGUUGCAUAUACACAUGUAAGCAGGUCUUACUUAAUGCAUAUUUAGGGCACGUCAAAGAGCGCAUUAGACCAGGCAAUGCUGCUACUUCUGGUGUUAAAACUUCAGUUGAAAUCUCCAGUUGGUAGAAAUUUGACUUCGGAAAAUCCUCUUGACAAGAAUGAACUCAAUCUGCUUGAUAAGAGUUAUGAUCGACCCAAAGAAAUUGUUAUCGAAGGUAAUUAUGGUGCUUCUCAAAUUAAAUGCUUUCUGUUAAACGGUUGUGACUUUGAAGAUGGCGAUGCUCAAAACCCUAGUCCAGUACAAGGACGUUUGUCUUAGCAUAAAUAUGAGAGAUCAUGAUCUCUCUUAUGAGGAGCAAGCAUGAGAUAAUUUGGAAGGGGAUUUUGAUGAUGAUAUUCUAAAGGUAGCUGAGGACAUCUCGGAUUUGGAGUUAUGGAGGGUCAUUUUUCACUAAGAUUGUUAUUCCUCAGGAUGAGAGGACUAUUUGAGGAGAGCUAUAAUUGUGAAAUUGCUAGGGGUGAAGGUUGUGCUUAGCUUUAUGCAAAUUCGCCUUUCCAUGCUUUGGCAGCCUAAGCAAGCCAUGGAGAUCAUUAUAUGGUAGUCCUGAGGUGGCAUCUUGAGUUCUUCCCUAUGGAGAAUGACCUGAUACGAGCAAUUAUAUGGGUUAGGAUACCAUUGCCUGCCAAUGGACUACUAUGAUAUAAUCAGAUUUUAUGGUCGAUUAGGAACAACUUGGGUAGGUCUAUGAAAUUUGAGAAAAGUACUCUAAAGGAAUUGAUAUGUUGGAGGGUCAUUUUCAACUUUGAGUGGGAAGUUUAUUUGAUUGUGUGUUGAACUUGACCUUAGGAAGGUUUUUGUCUUAAGGAGUUCUAUUCACAAAAGUGAAGAAAACCACAGGGACACAAUAAACGAGGGGUUGGAUAAUGCCAAUGGAAUUCUAUCGCGAUUACUAGAUUUCUCUUGGCUUCUACCGAAAGCUCUAAAUUGAUGCAUCGUCUAUAGGAACACAAUGCAAACAGUAGAAGUAGUGUAGAGGACAGCGGACAAUGUACACACAUAUUUUAUCCUUGUUCACCUAAAGUUAGAGGGCUACGUUUAGUUCUUGGAAUCCACCAAGCUUUUCACUAACAAGUAUCAAAAACUUCUCCUUACAAGUAUUAUUUUAUCAGGCCACUCUAGGCACACACAAGUAUUCUUUCCUAUCACUCUUCAGGAACUAACAAGUAUUAUUUCUCAUGCCUCUUCAGGCACUAGCAAGUAUUCUUAUGACUUAUCCUUACAUGUAUUAUUGUACAAACCU
Molecule: long non-coding RNA, 2360 nt
Organism: Lotus japonicus
Lineage: Eukaryota; Viridiplantae; Streptophyta; Magnoliopsida; Fabales; Fabaceae
Exons: 9
Source: RefSeq, a predicted model, not a curated record